This 326-nucleotide unclassified non-coding RNA is filed under the name soil metagenome. RNAcentral describes it as "partial contains 5.8S ribosomal RNA, internal transcribed spacer 2, and large subunit ribosomal RNA". The stretch from base 1 to 120 matches the Rfam family "5.8S ribosomal RNA", at positions 35 to 154 of the family's 154-position model. The record is from RNAcentral.
GAUGAAGAACGUAGCGAAAUGCGAUAAGUAGUGUGAAUUGCAGAAUUUAGUGAAUCAUCGAAUCUUUGAACGCACAUUGCGCCCUAUAGUAUUCUGUAGGGCAUGCCUGUUCGAGCGUUAUUGAGACCUCAAGCUCUGCUUGGAAAUGGGCGCUUGUCUUGCCUUGCAGACUCGCCUUAAAACCAUUGGCAGCUGAUUUACAAUGUUUGGUGCACAGUACAUGAGCCCAAGUGUUGCAAUGAGUGGCCCAAAAGUAUACAAUAGAAGCUUAACCUCGGGUCAGGUAGGGAUACCCGCUGAACUUAAGCAUAUCAAUAAGCGGAGGA